UCCUACGGGGGGGCAGCAGUAGGGAAUCUUCCGCAAUGGGCGAAAGCCUGACGGAGCAACGCCGCGUGAGUGAUGAAGGUCUUCGGAUCGUAAAACUCUGUUAUUAGGGAAGAACAUAUGUGUAAGUAACUGUGCACAUCUUGACGGUACCUAAUCAGAAAGCCACGGCUAACUACGUGCCAGCAGCCGCGGUAAUACGUAGGUGGCAAGCGUUAUCCGGAAUUAUUGGGCGUAAAGCGCGCGUAGGCGGUUUUUUAAGUCUGAUGUGAAAGCCCACGGCUCAACCGUGGAGGGUCAUUGGAAACUGGAAAACUUGAGUGCAGAAGAGGAAAGUGGAAUUCCAUGUGUAGCGGUGAAAUGCGCAGAGAUAUGGAGGAACACCAGUGGCGGAAGGCGAC
This 398-nucleotide ribosomal RNA is filed under the name Staphylococcus aureus. RNAcentral's name for it is "bacterial SSU rRNA". It matches the Rfam family "Bacterial small subunit ribosomal RNA", at positions 337 to 725 of the family's 1533-position model. Lineage: Bacteria; Bacillati; Bacillota; Bacilli; Caryophanales; Staphylococcaceae. The record is from RNAcentral.